AUGCUCGAGCGCGGAAGGAAAUUGUAUGAUUGCAUGAUGGGCUACACUCUCAGAAAUAAAGGGAACAGGAGCUUCGUCCCUCAAAUGUGGACUUCCAGUCUUCUUGGGUCACCUGGACAAUUGGGUAUGGUGUGUUGUGUUCACCCUGAAGAAUACAGCAAAGUAGACAUGGGGCAAACAUGUGAAUGUUCACGGUGCAUUUUAUGCAAACAACUCUAAUCGUAGUUGUAACUCUAUAUUUACAGUAGGCAUAAUUGUCAUUGCGUAUGUGUAUGCAGCAUGAGUCAAAUACAAUCUUCUGUUCGUAAACAGUUGUAGUUCAUUCAUUAAUCUGACUAUGCAUCCGUGCAUUUAAUUGCCAUUCGCUCGUGUGAUAGUAAUAUGGAUCUUAGUAGUAUUUUAAGUAACAAUUGAUUCUAUAAACAACUAUAAAAAAAGAUACAUUUCGGCUUUCUCCGGCUCCCUGCACCGGGCUAAUGUCUAACCGCACACUCCCUGGUCCGAAAUCCAAAAUGGCGGCCACGUGCAACUAGUCUAUUCUAACGUACACAACAUAGCCGCCAUCUUCUAAUGUUAAACUGUGUUCCACAUGCACAAAUGGAAUCGAACAUCAUCCAACAUCUUAUAAAUAUACAAUACCCAUACACUAAACACUUAUAUAAUUGAUUAUCUACAUAGCUGCAGAACUAUUUGGGCAUCAACUUAACUUUAACUCAACUUUUCAGUUGAGUACGUUGGCUGUAUGAGGAACUCGAGCUAGCUAACGAUAGCUGUAGUCAACUCUAAGCUAGCUGGCAAACGUUAGCUAAAGCCACGUUCAGACUGCACGAUUUUAGCCCAGUUUUUGGCUCGCUGACAGGUUUUGAGGAAUCGCCGACAAAUGCCCGAAAUCACAGGCAAAUCGGUGCUCGUUCACACGAGUGACAAUCACGCAGUGUGAAUGAGCAAAGACACGAUCUGAGAGAAUCGCCGACGAGUCACCGACGCCCGUGAGAUAUUUGUCAUGCUAAAUAUCUGGACUUGUCGGCGAUUCAAAAUCAUGCUGUGUGAAAAGUGUUCUGAUUGAAAACUACGUCGGCGAUGACUGACAGCCAAUGAGAGAGCAAGAUACAGAGCAGCGGGGAGUUCGGGGAGGAGUUAU
This is a long non-coding RNA of Cyprinus carpio carpio, 1141 nucleotides long. The record is from Ensembl. Lineage: Eukaryota; Metazoa; Chordata; Actinopteri; Cypriniformes; Cyprinidae.